UUUACAAUAAUAAUAAAAGCCAACCAAGCAAACAGUCAAAAGAGAAGCCAUUGUCAGAUUGACGCCAGGCCUACCUUCAUUCCCUCCUUAAUCAUUCUUUUUCUCAUUCAGCUCAGAUCAUCCUGCACUUGAAAAAAUGAAGUUUUACCACCAUCAAAACUAUCUUUAUUUAACAACAGUGAAGAUCAACAGAAAAAUCCAAGUAGCUUUGCUAAUGUUAGUUGAUGCCCAGUGAAAUCAGGUCACCACUGCCGUGCCUGACGCGUGCCCUGUGGUUUGUCUGUAACAGAGCCUCUUCCCUUGCAGCAGUCUGAUGAGUGGGCUCCUUCUCCAUCAUAACCCAGUGUUGUUGUUACCUGUGGUCCUAACAAAGCUCAUUGGGAAUUGUCCCAAAACUUUAUAAACUGGGAAACGUAUUGAUGAAAAGAAGGUCCAGUGUUGAUGAUGAGCUUGUUUUAAGUGGAGAAAAGGUAAUCACAUCAGGUACAGAGGUGCAUGAUGGCGUCCUGCCGACUGUCGUUUCAGUUCACUCCCGGGUUCUGUGUUAGGAAGUAAUGCUGGCCUUUUGAAAGCAGAAACUGGCACCUUUCUGCUCUAUAUGGCAUGUGGGUGCCCUGUGAAUGCAAACGCACACAUAGGGUGAGGCUCAGAUGUGACAAAAGCCUGACCUCUGUCCUUGCCACUUAACACCUGUUUUAUGUCCUGUUGGCACUGUAGCCCAAACAGACUUGUAUUUACUUUAUGGCUAGAAAAUAAGCAAGAAGUUUUUUUCAGUGUUGAAAACAAAUGUCAUUAGAUGUUCUUAGUUGUACCGAGUCAGAGUGUUCCUAAGUUAGGGACUGGACUACUAAUCAGAUUUUGUGUUUUCACAUAGAAAGGUUAUCGGAGUCAGUUUACUUUUCUGUGAGUGAUAGUAAGAGCGUGAGUCAGUUGAAACACAUUGGGAGGGGUUGCCAAAUAUCAGCAUAAAGACAGUGGCUCAGAAGAGGCAGAAAGGGCCCUCUUAGUCCAUAAAAUGUGCCCUCCUUAAACUGAUGUGGUCUGAGUCUAUCUUGUGUGUCUUGGGAUUUUUGGUUGGUGGGUGGGUUGGUUGGUUGGUUAGUUGGUUGGUUUUAGUUUUUUUGAAACACGGUCUCACUGUGUGACCCAGACUGGCCUCAGAUGCACAGAUGCAUCGGCCUCCCAAGUGCUGGGAUUGGAGGUAUGUCCCACCACACCCUGUAGCCUUUUUCUUUUUGGUCAAAGAAAGAAUCCUUGGGCUCAAGUGGUCUUUGCAACUUAGCCCCAGAAGUAGCUAAGACUACAUGUGGGCACCAGCAUGUGCUGAUAGACCUUCUUUUAAAGCCUGAUGUUAGUCUUACUUGGAUAUUUAUUUUCAUAUGUCAAGCAGAAUAAAGGGUGGGACACAUUUUUAUUCUGGCUAUUGUUUCAUUUCACAAGCUACUUAGAACAAGUUAGCAGGGAUGAGAAGAAAAACAUUGCUAGUCCAGUUGGCUUCAGCUUAUAAAGCAAGGGCCAUACCAUGUUGUGUCCCUCAACUCCAAGUCCCUGUGUGUGUGGCUGUGUCCCAAAGUGACACCGUGCUGGUGGUGUGUAAGUGAGGGCUGAUUUCCAGUGUGCGCUGAGAGAUGACAUGAUUGAGGUAGGUGAACCUAGAGAUAAAAGGGUUCUUAUAAUUGAAUAUAGAAAACUUCUGGUUUGACGGUGUUACAUUAGGUUCUUUUCACUUGAAAAGAUUUUGAAAUAAAAUCACAUAUUUUAAAGCUGUAAAUUGUAUAUGUCUGAGGAUUUAGUAAAAUGUCAGAGAUCAAUCUAUAAGAAAAUUUAAAUAUUGUUUUUAUAUCUUAGUUGUCUGUCAUUAUUUUAGAUCCCACAAUCCCUAAUUUAACCAUUUCGGCAAGUGCCUUUGACACUUAAGGAGUAUUGUGGGAGAUGAGCAAAUGUAGGUGCCACACCCCGUUUCCUGGCUUCUCAAUUCCUCGUGACAGUAUAUGUUUUACAGUGCUACAAAGUUCAGUCCUUUGUGUUCAUGUGAGAUUGUACUGUAGCCUUUCCAUAGUAAACAGCAAAAUAAACCAUUUGCAGAAAAUGAAAAGUAAGCACUGUGGCUUGUUCAGUAUGUUACCCAUUGACCCAGCUUCAAAGCAAAGCACCUAUGCAAGCAACCCAAUUCCAUUGCUCCCUGUUUCUAAUAAAGUACAUGAACCUAUCUGG
This 2214-nucleotide long non-coding RNA is filed under the name Rattus norvegicus (Norway rat). Its description in RNAcentral is "long non-coding RNA NONRATT008395". The record is from RNAcentral. Lineage: Eukaryota; Metazoa; Chordata; Mammalia; Rodentia; Muridae.